This 117-nucleotide ribosomal RNA is filed under the name Lepisosteus oculatus (spotted gar). Lineage: Eukaryota; Metazoa; Chordata; Actinopteri; Semionotiformes; Lepisosteidae. The record is from RNAcentral.
GCCAGCAGCAAUAUCACUCUGCAAUUCAACUGGCAACCCACUGAAGCUCAGCAGUUGUGAGCCUGGUCAGUACCUGGAUGAGAGACCUCCUGGGAAAAACUAAGGUUGUUGCUGGAA